This 253-nucleotide ribosomal RNA is filed under the name uncultured bacterium. Its description in RNAcentral is "partial 16S ribosomal RNA". It matches the Rfam family "Bacterial small subunit ribosomal RNA", at positions 524 to 776 of the family's 1533-position model. The record is from RNAcentral.
UACGUAGGGGGCAAGCGUUGUCCGGAUUUAUUGGGCGUAAAGAGCGUGUAGGCGGCCAGAUAGGUCAGCUGUGAAAACUCGAGGCUCAACCUCGAGAUGUCGGCUGAAACCAUCUGGCUAGAGUCCGGAAGAGGAGAAUGGAAUUCCCGGUGUAGCGGUGAAAUGCGCAGAUAUCGGGAAGAACACCCGUGGCGAAGGCAAUCUCCUGGACCUGCACUGACGCUCAUGCACGAAAGCGUGGGGAGCAAACAGG